GAAAGUACGUAGCGGUAAUUGACAAGUAUAAAUAGGCAAUGGCUCUGGUAAUGGCUAUCAUUACUAAAGCUUGCAGUGCUUGUGUAAAUUCAAGUCCCGGGAUAGCGUCUGGACUUUGCUUCCAAUUAGCUUCAAUAUGAAGGCGACAUUGCUUUUUGCAAUCUUCUUGGCCAUUUUCAUCACCGUUUUAGCUGGUGGAAAGUCUUGGUAUUAUCCUUACCAUUAUCCAUAUCACUUCGGCAAGUCCUGGCCUUACUAUUAUUACCAUCACUACUAUUACCCUCACUAUCCUUACUACCACUGGCCCUACCACUAAAUCAUCCAAGAAAACAAGUAAUUUUAUAGGUAUUUUUCAUCUGCUGCUUUUUCAAAAACUUGCUGCCAAAUUACGCAUCAACAAAAUUAUACAAGAUGUCAAAUAAACACUUCCAUAUUUGAAAUAAUUUACUUGACCUCAGAAAAUUUCAUGUACCAAACUUUAUGCAUUCACCUUCGUUUGCUUGAUUAUUCUUUAAAAUACAAAAUACGCCUUGUA
Uloborus diversus is the source of this 535-nucleotide long non-coding RNA. RefSeq lists it as uncharacterized. The record is from RefSeq and is a predicted model, not a curated record. NCBI's taxonomy places the organism in Eukaryota, Metazoa, Arthropoda, Arachnida, Araneae, Uloboridae. The transcript has 3 exons.